UAAACUAGGGCUUGCACAGAAUCGGACAAGGGACUGACAUUUCUUAUCUAGAUGCCUAAAACAGAAGCAGAUAAGAUAGCGGAUUAGGCCGAAAAGGAGGAAGCGGGGAUGGCACUGGCUCUUUCUAUCUUAAGGCGGUAAGGCGCAGUCGAAACUUGAAGCGUGUGUAACCCGUUCUAAUUCUAAGAGUAAGGGGCUUAGCGCUUUGAUGGUUGACUGCCUCCGCUCGGGGCACCUAUCUUUCUUUAUAUGCCCAUUUUGCAAGAAGAAGGGCUUUCCUUAUUGAAAAGAUUCAAAAU
RNAcentral lists this long non-coding RNA (299 nucleotides) under Panax ginseng (ginseng). RNAcentral's name for it is "long non-coding RNA (PGIN_LNC007448)". Lineage: Eukaryota; Viridiplantae; Streptophyta; Magnoliopsida; Apiales; Araliaceae. The record is from RNAcentral.